This 253-nucleotide ribosomal RNA is filed under the name uncultured bacterium. Its description in RNAcentral is "partial 16S ribosomal RNA". It matches the Rfam family "Bacterial small subunit ribosomal RNA", at positions 524 to 776 of the family's 1533-position model. The record is from RNAcentral.
UACGGAGGAUGCAAGCGUUAUCCGGAUUUAUUGGGUUUAAAGGGUGCGCAGGUGGCUUUGUAAGUCAGUGGUGAAAGUCUGCCGCUUAACGGUAGGACUGCCAUUGAUACUGCAAAGCUUGAGUUUGGAUGAGGUAGGCGGAAUGAGUAGUGUAGCGGUGAAAUGCAUAGAUAUUACUCAGAACACCGAUUGCGAAGGCAGCUUACUAAUCCGCAACUGACACUGAGGCACGAAAGCGUGGGGAUCAAACAGG